UCAAGACUGAACAGGAAGAGCUGAACUUAAGUGUGUCGCUCAGCAAACGUUUGGUGAAUGACGAAUCGUUGGAUGUUUGCUUUACGUCCACCUUCCAAGACCCCGUUGUUUCCAAAACGACAACCGGCACAUAGCCUGGCGUGCUGCCAAGAAAUGCGGAGCAGAGACCAUGGAGAGCGUACGGUGGCUGAGGAAACUGGUUCACGAGCUCUCCACUCGUCAGCGAAGGAAGAGACUACCCCUUCUGGACCCGGAGAAAUAAAGCAUUUCUGGAUGCCAAUCCAGUGCUCUCUCCAUAACCUUUAUUCAAAAAGCAUUUGAGAACCAAAGAGCUGUACGGGUGGGUACCCAAGGAGUAGAUGCUAAACAAAUGAAGUUUCUGUAGGAAGCAGCACGAUAAGAAGGAACCGCACAGACUCGAGAGAUUUCAGUUCAUACCGCGGUUUGGCGCUUAGGAACUGAGUCAUCAUAAGAAAACCUACUUGCUAGUGCCAGUUUUCUAGGCUGCUUUUGCUUAAAAGUAUAUUAUUCUACUUUAUCUCCAAGACAAGAACUCUUACUGGUUUGUAGUCACUUCCAAGAAAUCUGUAAGAGGUCUGCAGUACAUACACUAUGUUCAUUUAUCUUAACUUUAAAGUUAUUUAAAAGAAUGUACUAAAUUUCCUGUUACUCUAAUAACAUUUGAUCUAUUCUUAACAUAAUGGCACAUGGCCUUGCCUUCAUGGGACAGAGAAUAUAAAACCUUAACUACAACGUUUUAUACAUAAUAGCUUUGAAAAGAUAUAUUGGAAUGAGAAUCUAGAGGCAGGAACAAUUAGUAGAACUCUGAAAUCCCAACUUACACGCUAUUAGUAAAUAAAUAUAUUGGUUGAAAAUAUAAACCAAUAAUAGCACAGUGGUUAACAAAUCCAACUAGGAAUCAUGAGGUUGAGGGUUUGAUCCUUGGCCUUGCUCAGUGGGUUAAGGAUCUGGCGUUGCCGUGAGCUGUGGUGUAGGUCACAGACACGGCUUAGAUCCCACGUUGCUGUGGCUCUGGCGUAGGCCAGCAACUACAGCUCCCAUUGGACCCCUAGCCUGGGAACCUCCAUAUGCGGUGGGAAGGGGCCCUAGAAAAGGCAAAGAGACCAAAAAAAAAAAAAAAAAAAAGAAAGAAAAUAUAAACCAUUCUUAACAUAGUUCUGAAAACUAUUUUAUUUGAAAGAAGCCUUCUGGAUUUCCCUGGUGGCACAUCAGGUUAACAAUCAGGCAAUGUCACUGCUAUUGUGGAGGCUGUGGCUCCCGUCUGAUCCCUGGCCUGGGAACUUCCACAUGCCUCAGGCGAGGCCCAAAGGAGAGAAAAGAGAAAAAAAAAAAAAAAGCAGCAGCAGCAUUCUCAGUUAUUAUACCUGAAUUUGAUUAUUAAGGGGAGAGAAAGCCUUCAUAAAGGAAACAAUAUAAUUAAGGACCAUAUAAAGAAAUGCCACAGGAGUUCCUGCUGUGGCGUAAGGGAAACGAAUCUGACUAGGAACCAUGAGGUUGCAGGUUCAUUUGAUCCCUGGCCUCGCUCAGUGGGUUAAGGAUCCAGCAUUGCAUAGGUCACACAUGCGGCUCAGAUCUGGCGUGGCUGUGGCUUAGGCUAGCAGCUUGCAGUUCUGAUUCAACCCCUAACCUGGAAAUCUACAUAUGCCACGGGGGUGCAGCCCUAAAAAGCAGAAAAAAAAAAAAAAAGGAAAUGCUACAAUAGGUGUGGGGUGGGGCAACCCCCAAAAGUCAAUAAAUAUCCAAGGUUGAUUUAAUGUUAGUAAUAUUCAUGGGGGGAAACGCUUAUUAACAUUAAACACGUUUGGAAUUCAGCCAACCAGGGGCUUAUUUUGUCGGAAUAUUUGUAACUCCUCCCCUCUAUAAAAUCAUGAGGUAUAUAAGAUCAGAUAUUCCGAGGUCAAAAUUCUAGGCCAAACCCCACAAACUCAGUUGCUGACAAGAAUAAAAGUGAUCACCACCCUGCUUUUAAGAUUCAGAUCAUGGAGAAAGAUACUUUUGAGAGAGAGCAUAUAAAAACAUACGUUGAAAGCUCUCCAAGAGCCAAUAAAUGUUUUCUCAUACAAUAGUUCAUUACUCAUAAUGAGAUACAUAACCAUUACAUAAUUGCAUUACUGUAGAUGCCAUUAUUAUGGAAAAACAAUCACAUGAAGGUAUUCGGGCCAAAAAUAUUACUUAAAAAUUCAAUUUACGGAACCAGCGAACAUGAACAGGAGCAAGGGACUCCUGAAUCCUUAUGCUGAAGAUUUCAAAUAAAUGUAUCAACAAUAGCUCCCUCUGUCCUGGCUCCAGCCCUACCUUUCAGUUUUCUCAACUUGCCUUUCUACAAGCUUUCCCUUAAUGCCUUAAUGCUAGGCAAUAAAAAGGCAUUCAUUAUGCUCCCAGCGUUGCUCUUGUUUGCCCUAGUUUCGGAAUUUUAACUAAGUCUGGGUCCCACAGUGAAACCGGUUCUCGGAACUGCGACCACGGCGCAGACAGCCU
Molecule: long non-coding RNA, 2499 nt
Filed under: Sus scrofa (pig)
Lineage: Eukaryota; Metazoa; Chordata; Mammalia; Artiodactyla; Suidae
Description: lncRNA (ENSSSCG00005031394.1)
Source: RNAcentral